ACAUCUGCAACCGCACGAUUUGCGGUUAGAAGACUUUCAGAGUUGAAAGCACCCAAAUUGGCGAGUCUAAGUAUUU
RNAcentral lists this small RNA (76 nucleotides) under Lactobacillus intestinalis. Lineage: Bacteria; Bacillati; Bacillota; Bacilli; Lactobacillales; Lactobacillaceae. The record is from RNAcentral.